RNAcentral lists this ribosomal RNA (407 nucleotides) under Clostridioides difficile. RNAcentral describes it as "bacterial SSU rRNA". It matches the Rfam family "Bacterial small subunit ribosomal RNA", at positions 183 to 609 of the family's 1533-position model. Lineage: Bacteria; Bacillati; Bacillota; Clostridia; Peptostreptococcales; Peptostreptococcaceae. The record is from RNAcentral.
GAGAGGCAUCUCUUAAAUAUCAAAGGUGAGCCAGUACAGGAUGGACCCGCGUCUGAUUAGUUAGUUGGUAAGGUAACGGCUUACCAAGGCGACGAUCAGUAGCCGACCUGAGAGGGUGAUCGGCCACAUUGGAACUGAGACACGGUCCAAACUCCUACGGGAGGCAGCAGUGGGGAAUAUUGCACAAUGGGCGAAAGCCUGAUGCAGCAACGCCGCGUGAGUGAUGAAGGCCUUCGGGUCGUAAAGCUCUGUCCUCAAGGAAGAUAAUGACGGUACUUGAGGAGGAAGCCCCGGCUAACUACGUGCCAGCAGCCGCGGUAAUACGUAGGGGGCUAGCGUUAUCCGGAUUUACUGGGCGUAAAGGGUGCGUAGGCGGUCUUUCAAGUCAGGAGUGAAAGGCUACGGCU